Molecule: ribosomal RNA, 480 nt
Filed under: uncultured bacterium
Lineage: Bacteria
Description: bacterial SSU rRNA
Rfam family: Bacterial small subunit ribosomal RNA
Source: RNAcentral
UGCUGUUUCGCUGACGAGUGGCGGACGGGUGAGUAAUGUCUGGGAAACUGCCUGAUGGAGGGGGAUAACUACUGGAAACGGUAGCUAAUACCGCAUAACGUCGCAAGACCAAAGAGGGGGACCUUCGGGCCUCUUGCCAUCGGAUGUGCCCAGAUGGGAUUAGCUAGUAGGUGGGGUAACGGCUCACCUAGGCGACGAUCCCUAGCUGGUCUGAGAGGAUGACCAGCCACACUGGAACUGAGACACGGUCCAGACUCCUACGGGAGGCAGCAGUGGGGAAUAUUGCACAAUGGGCGCAAGCCUGAUGCAGCCAUGCCGCGUGUAUGAAGAAGACCUUCGGGUUGUAAAGUACUUUCAGCGGGGAGGAAGGGAGUAAAGUUAAUACCUUUACUCAUUGACGUUACCCGCAGAAGAAGCACCGGCUAACUCCGUGCCAGCAGCCGCGGUAAUACGGAGGGUGCAAGCGUUAAUCGGAAUUAC